UUGCCUUCCUGGAAUAGCAGGGACGGCAGAUGUUUUACUAUAAACAGAUUAUGUCAUUGUCAAUGAAGGUAAUUUGUUGGAUGUUGUAGUCAUCUAUAAAACUGGAUGGACAAGUUUGAAGUUUCCCUUUUUCUUCUCUUAAUUUUUUUCCCCUAGAAAAGUUGUUGAGGAUUCAAUUCAGAUGGUCAUAUUGCACUACAGAUAUCUAUAGGACUAUAUCUUUCUUCUGUAGUUUUUGCUCUGACUGCUAGUAACUCACUUGGGACUUGGGAGUAAUGUCACGUCCUGAAGCAUGGUUAUUUGAUGCUAGACUUAAUUUUGGAUGAGAAUCAUAUUUAAUUUCAGGAUCACUGUUUCUAAAAGGAAAUAUAAGUGAACCAUCUAAAAUUGUUAAAUCUUUUCCAUGUGGAAGGAUUUAUUCUGGCUAACAAUUGUAGUACUGUUGUAUAUGGAAAGUUUAUAAUUUUGAAGCCACUAACAUUUGUUAUUUAUUUCAACAGCAGUAUUAAUUAUGUUUUCUUUAAUAAUAAGUCCCAGAAUUAUUAUUCUUUAGCUUUUAUAUCCACAUGUUGUAGCUGAUGGUGAUCAUUUGGGCUGCUUUAUUUUAUUUUAUUUUCUAGUUGGAAGCAAAUGGUUGACCUGUUAUCAUAACCAACAUUUUGAAUCUCAACCCGUCAGUGAAACAAAAGCUAACUAGUUGAACCAGUUUAACUCAGUCAAAAACUGGUCAAAUAUAAUUAAUUGUUUAAAAAUAAAUAAAUAGGUUUUCAAGGUAAAAAGUACAGAUAAAAAGAAAAAUUAUGAAUCAAAACUAAUUUGGACCAACUGAUUAUUGGUUUGAUGCCCAGUCCAACUGGCGAGUCUGAUGUUGUUUUCUAAGUAUUGACCAUAAAUCAUAACUGUCAAAUGUCAAUUGUUUUCAGGUUUUGUGAUUUCACUCCUUGUAGUUGCUGCCAUCCUGUUAAGGCUGUUUAAUGUAACUUUUCUUUUACAAAUUGUAAGGGUUAUCGGGUGAUUUCAGUUGAUAUUCCACGUGUAUGGAAUCGUCAUGAGUGGAUUCAAGCAUUUGAAAAGUUCUUGGAUGUCAUUGAUGUUCAU
This 1098-nucleotide unclassified non-coding RNA is filed under the name Hevea brasiliensis (rubber tree). Lineage: Eukaryota; Viridiplantae; Streptophyta; Magnoliopsida; Malpighiales; Euphorbiaceae. The record is from RNAcentral.